This 218-nucleotide ribosomal RNA is filed under the name uncultured bacterium. Its description in RNAcentral is "partial 16S ribosomal RNA". It matches the Rfam family "Bacterial small subunit ribosomal RNA", at positions 29 to 244 of the family's 1533-position model. The record is from RNAcentral.
AACGAACGCUGGCGGCGUGGAUUAGGCAUGCAAGUCGAACGCGAAAGGGGAGCAAUCCCUGAGUAGAGUGGCGAACUGGUGAGUAACAGGUGGGCAAUGUGCCCCAAAGUGGGGGAUAACUCCGAGAAAUCGGAGCUAAUACCGCAUGUGGCGUCAAGGACCUCGGUUCAUGACGUUAAAGGAGCAAUUCGCUUUGGGAUCGGCCCGCCCCCGAUUAG